GAAAUGCGAUAAGUAAUGUGAAUUGCAGAAUUCAGUGAAUCAUCGAAUCUUUGAACGCACCUUGCGCUCCUUGGUAUUCCUUGGAGCAUGCCUGUUUGAGUAUCAUGAAAUCUUCAAAGUAAAUCUUUUGUUAACUCAAUUGGUUUCUACUUUGGUAUUGGAGGUCUUUGCAGCUUCACACCUGCUCCUCUUUGUUCAUUAGCUGGAUCUCAGUGUUAUGCUUGGUUCCACUCGGCGUGAUAAGUUAUCUAUCGCUGAGGACACUGUAAAAGGUGGCCAAGGUAAAUGCAGAUGAACCGCUUCUAAUAGUCCAUUGACUUGGACAAUACUUUUAUGAUUUGAUCUCGAAUCAGGUAGGACUACCCGCUGAACUUAAGC
RNAcentral lists this unclassified non-coding RNA (378 nucleotides) under plant metagenome. RNAcentral's name for it is "partial contains 5.8S ribosomal RNA, internal transcribed spacer 2, and large subunit ribosomal RNA". The stretch from base 1 to 105 matches the Rfam family "5.8S ribosomal RNA", at positions 50 to 154 of the family's 154-position model. The record is from RNAcentral.